Molecule: long non-coding RNA, 998 nt
Organism: Trachemys scripta elegans
Lineage: Eukaryota; Metazoa; Chordata; Testudines; Emydidae
Exons: 3
Source: RefSeq, a predicted model, not a curated record
CCGUGGACCUGGCCCCCGUUGUGCCAGGCGCUGUAUAAACCAGAACGAGGAGAGAGCUGAGAACCGAAGUGUGGAGGAGAGACAGCAGAUGGAUACAGACACAGAGGGAGCCCGAUCCUCCAUCGCUGAGACCACGGGGAGGUGCCUGAAUGUAGGGAUGGGCCCAAUCCUACACCACAGAGACUGCAGCGAGGGACCUGAUCCUACAUCGCCAGGAGAGCUGCUCUGUGGCUGCCAAGUUCUUCCUUGCUGAGCAGCAUGAGCACAACUGUUUUCCUGUUGCUAAAUUACAAUAUCAAAGUGAGGGGCCCAGCGGGACCCCGUGGGCCAAUGGGAAAUUGACAUGCAAAAUACGGGGCUUUCCCACACAUAAUGAAGCCAUCGAGGAGGUGAGUACAAGCCAGCAUCCCCACGCCCCACUGGGAUGCCCCAUGUGGGAGGGGCACAGGGGAACAGGGCAGGGCCAGGAUUCUGGCUGUGCCUGGGCGGAUAUUCAGACAAAUAAAACUAUGAAAAGUUGCCAAGUCAUCCUCCUACCCCGAGUGGAAUGGAUGGAAUGGAAACCCCGCCCACCCCACAGCUCCUAUCCCCAAAUCUGACCCGUUGGAGCCUCCUGAUUUGUGGGUGCAGGGCUUGGCCGUCCAGGGGUGACGCCGUGCGGACAAGAGCACAGAUGUGGCAGGCAAGCCCGCAGUGUCGGCAGCAGACGAGGCCUGCAGGCAGCUGGCUGGUUAUCUGGGGUAAGGCGCUAAGGUAGCAGGAUCCGGGUAGCUUCCUCCGGGCCCUCUAGACGGAAGGGGAGCCCGUGGAGAAAGCAGCAUGGAGGGGACUGGGAUGGGGGCUGAGGAGAUGCUGAGGAGCUGGGUGCUACAGUCUCACCCAGCAGGGCUCUCACUGCAGGGCUGAACGGACAGGGCAGGGAGGUGCUGGGAAACGGGUACCUUGCUCUGGUGGUACCAUCCCACGGGGCCGUGGGGAGCCCCGGGGGGAUCAGAGCC